GUAGGUGGUUAAAAAAGUUGGUGGUGAAAUCCCAGAGCUUAACUCUGGAACUGCCAUCAAAACUUUUUAGCUAGAGUAUGAUAGAGGAAAGCAGAAUUUCUAGUGUAGAGGUGAAAUUCGUAGAUAUUAGAAAGAAUACCAAUUGCGAAGGCAGCUUUCUGGAUCAUUACUGACACUGAGGAACGAAAGCAUGGGUAGCGAAGAGGAUUAGAUACCCUCGUAGUCCAUGCCGUAAACGAUGUGUGUUAGACGUUGGAAAUUUAUUUUCUGUGUCGCAGCGAAAGCAAUAAACACACCGCCUGGGGAGUACGACCGCAAGGUUAAAACUCAAAUGAAUUGACGGGGACCCGCACAAGUAGUGGAGCAUGUGGUUUAAUUCGAAGAUACGCGCAGAACCUUACCAACACUUGACAUGUUCGUCGCGACUUUAAGAGAUUAAAGUUUUCGGUUCGGCCGGACGAAACACAGGUGCUGCAUGGCUGUCGUCAGCUCGUGUCGUGAGAUGUUGGGUUAAGUCCCGCAACGAGCGCAACCCUCACUUUUAGUUGCCAUCAUUUAGUUGGGCACUCUGAAAGAACUGCCAGUGAUAAGCUGGAGGAAGGUGGGGAUGACGUCAAGUCCUCAUGGCCCUUACGUGUUGGGCUACACACGUGCUACAAUGGCAUUUACAAUAGGAAGCAAGACGGCGACGUUAAGCAAAUCCUAAAAAAAUGCCUCAGUUCGGAUUGUACUCUGCAACUCGAGUACAUGAAGCUGGAAUUACUAGUAAUCGCGGAUCAGCGCGCCGCGGUGAAUACGUUCCCGGGUCUUGUACACACCGCCCGUCACACCAUGGGAGUUGGUUCUACCUUAAGGCAAAGUUUAAUACCUUUGACCACGGUAUAGUCAGCGACUGGGGUGAAGUCGUAACAAGGUAGCCGUAGGGGAACCUGCGGCUG
RNAcentral lists this ribosomal RNA (938 nucleotides) under marine metagenome. Its description in RNAcentral is "bacterial SSU rRNA". It matches the Rfam family "Bacterial small subunit ribosomal RNA", at positions 571 to 1520 of the family's 1533-position model. The record is from RNAcentral.